UACAGAGGUCUCAAGCGUUGUUCGGAUUCAUUGGGCGUAAAGGGUGUGUAGGUGGCGCCGUAAGUCGGGUGUGAAAUUUCGGAGCUUAACUCCGAAACUGCAUUCGAUACUGCGGUGCUUGAGGACUGGAGAGGAGACUGGAAUUCAUGGUGUAGCAGUGAAAUGCGCAGAGAUCAUGAGGAAGACCAGUGGCGAAGGCGGGUCUCUGGACAGUUCCUGACACUGAGACACGAAGGCCAGGGGAGCAAACGGG
This 253-nucleotide ribosomal RNA is filed under the name uncultured bacterium. RNAcentral describes it as "partial 16S ribosomal RNA". It matches the Rfam family "Bacterial small subunit ribosomal RNA", at positions 524 to 776 of the family's 1533-position model. The record is from RNAcentral.